This 468-nucleotide ribosomal RNA is filed under the name uncultured bacterium. RNAcentral's name for it is "partial 16S ribosomal RNA". It matches the Rfam family "Bacterial small subunit ribosomal RNA", at positions 28 to 507 of the family's 1533-position model. The record is from RNAcentral.
GACGAACGCUGGCGGCGUGCUUAACACAUGCAAGUCGAACGGAAAGGCCCUGCUUUUGUGGGGUGCUCGAGUGGCGAACAGGUGAGUAACACGUGAGUAACCUGCCCUUGACUUUGGGAUAACUUCAGGAAACUGGGGCUAAUACCGGAUAGGAGCUCCUGCUGCAUGGUGGGGGUUGGAAAGUUUCGGCGGUUGGGGAUGGACUCGCGGCUUAUCAGCUUGUUGGUGGGGUAGUGGCUUACCAAGGCUUUGACGGGUAGCCGGCCUGAGAGGGUGACCGGCCACAUUGGGACUGAGAUACGGCCCAGACUCCUACGGGAGGCAGCAGUGGGGAAUAUUGCACAAUGGGCGGAAGCCUGAUGCAGCAACGCCGCGUGCGGGAUGACGGCCUUCGGGUUGUAAACCGCUUCCGCCUGUGACGAAGCGUGAGUGACGGUAAUGGGUAAAGAAGCACCGGCUAACUACGUG